This 446-nucleotide ribosomal RNA is filed under the name uncultured bacterium. RNAcentral's name for it is "partial 16S ribosomal RNA". It matches the Rfam family "Bacterial small subunit ribosomal RNA", at positions 338 to 795 of the family's 1533-position model. The record is from RNAcentral.
CCUACGGGGGGCAGCAGUCGAGAAUCAUUCACAAUGGGGGAAACCCUGAUGGUGCGACGCCGCGUGGGGGAAUGAAGGUCUUCGGAUUGUAAACCCCUGUCAUGUGGGAGCAAAUUAAAAAGAUAGUACCACAAGAGGAAGAGACGGCUAACUCUGUGCCAGCAGCCGCGGUAAUCAAGAGGUCUCAAGCGUUGUUCGGAAUCCCUGGGCGUAAAGCGUGCGUAGGCUGUUUCGUAAGUCGUGUGUGAAAGGCGCGGGCUCAACCCGCGGACGGCACAUGAUACUGCGAGACUAGAGUAAUGGAGGGGGAACCGGAAUUCUCGGUGUAGCAGUGAAAUGCGUAGAUAUCGAGAGGAACACUCGUGGCGAAGGCGGGUUCCUGGACAUUAACUGACGCUGAGGCACGAAGGCCAGGGGAGCGAAAGGGAUUAGAUACCCCAGUAGUC